UUUGGAUUACGUACGUGAAAAACGCUAACAUCUACUUCCAGCCGCCACCAACAGGAGGGGAAAAAUGAUCAUAUGAUCGUGAUUUCUGUGCCUAGAAGUUUCUAAAAUAUGACAAUAUUUCUAGUUCUCUGUUAGAACCUGUUCAGGGUUCUAGGUUCUGGACUGUUCAUAUAAAUUCUCUACUCAGUCGUGUAAUAAAAAGGCUGCCUUUAUUUUUACACAUGAGAGGAACAAGUCUGCACUUAAUAGAAAACCACCAGGGGGAGCUCUAACCUUACAAAUACACACAGCAGGGAUGAAAACUUUCAGGUUUUUUCUUUGUUUCUGAUCAGUGCCAACAGCCCAAAUAAUUCACACAUGCAUAGAAAUCACAGCUGGUUACAGAUAAAUGAAUGAGAAUAAUAGCUGAACUUAGAGAAAUGUGUUCAAUACUUUUUGAAAAAUCUAUUUAACCUUUACUACCUGCAGCUGAGCUGACCUUUAACACGCCAACAUUUCAGCUUUUCUUCCAAAGCAGGAUCCAUUUAGUUGCAAUUAGAUUGUUUUUCUCUGAGUUGCUCCAUGGCAGCCGGCGGUCGGAUCAGAGACCGGCCGUCUGCCGAUCCACACGCUAAAAGUCAUCCUGGGUUUUUCCUUUCAGGCUCUGCAGCGAAGGGGUGGAGCUGCUGUCAAAGUUCCUGCAGUUUGAAGGGAAGAAGAGGAUCUCUGCAGACGUGUCCAUGAAACAUGCUUACUUUAGUAACCUUGGAAACCGACUGCUGUCGCUUCCUGACACUUCGUCCAUCUUUAGUCUGUCAGAGAUUCAACUGGAAAAGGAACGCUUGAGGCCGACGGCGGCGCCUGAUCCAGCUUCUAGCCCCGCUAGGAGGCGGAGUCUGCUGUUCUGACCCCUAAAGGAGGUGGAGUCAAACUGGGGGAGGAGUUUACUCUUACGACACCCAAAGGAGGCGGAGCCAUCU
Cyprinodon variegatus (sheepshead minnow) is the source of this 959-nucleotide long non-coding RNA. RefSeq lists it as uncharacterized. The transcript is spliced from 4 exons. NCBI's taxonomy places the organism in Eukaryota, Metazoa, Chordata, Actinopteri, Cyprinodontiformes, Cyprinodontidae. The record is from RefSeq and is a predicted model, not a curated record.